Molecule: long non-coding RNA, 2893 nt
Organism: Drosophila pseudoobscura
Lineage: Eukaryota; Metazoa; Arthropoda; Insecta; Diptera; Drosophilidae
Exons: 2
Source: RefSeq, a predicted model, not a curated record
CAACAUGUACUGGAAAAGUACUCUCAGUAGUGUACGUGCAUAUGUCUGGAUUGGGAUCGUUUUUAUGCGAUGUAUGUAUGUACAUAUGUACAUGAAUUGCAGUUAUUGCCUGAUAAGAAACUUUAAUCUUUAAUUAAAAGUUGCUUGAAAGCAAAAUGCUGCUCGAUAAGCCCGCAAAAUGACCGACUGCUUGUACCUGACAGAAAAAAUUACAGUUCGGAAAAAUGUUACUUCUAGAAUGGUGUAUUUUGUAUAUUUAUAUUUCACCUACAAUAUCUUUCUUUUUGAUAACCUUCUAUCUGGUGCAUCAAAAUCUUGGAAAAUUUGUGAAAAAAAUGUUCAGUUAAGCUUGAAAGUACAAACACCUCGAAAACACACAUAUCGUACAUCCAACGUAUUUUAGAAAAAAACGAAAAUAAUUGGUUCUGUCCAAUAGGUCUUAAAAUUUGAUAAAAUUUGAUCUAAAAUUUUUAUAUUUUGUUCAACCUAGAGCAUUCAAAAAAUAUACAUUUUUAUAUAAAAAUUUCGCCAUUUGCAACAAUAUAUCUUAGGUUGUUAAUGUUGCCUACUAGAUUAUUAGAAGAGAGUUUUUUUAGAUUAUUUUUUUUGUUGUUAAUUUGAUGCUUUGUUUAUUUAAAGGCGUAUUUAUAUAUUGUGGUAUAAAUUGAUGUCUGUUAAGAAUUUGAUUAUUUUUGUUGCAUUAAUAUUGUUAAAUAAACUCAGCAUGGGUUUAUAUUUAUACUUACCAAAGAUUUUAGUUCUGCCUUGUUUUAGUGCUGGGCACAGUUUGAGAGUAUGGGCUCGAUGCUGACACUUGGAUUAAAGUUCCAAAUGUGACAAGACGGUGGUGAAAUAUUUGACCUAUGUACAUAUAUAGGGCUAGUAUGUUUGAUGUUGUUUUAAUAUUAGCGUCCGCUUAUGUAUGUCCUGUGUAUUAGUGUCCGUUCUGGUUGUGUGGUAUUUUUUGCCUCACAUGUUUAUUACAGAUGGUGUUUAAAUAUUCCGGCAUCCACAGAAGUAAUCUUAUUGAUAUGGACGUUGACAUGCAAUGACUGCAUCUUUCAAGAGGCGAUGCAAUUACUGCACCGACAAGUGGCCCGUGUGACACCAGCAGAAGGCUGUUAUGCACGGAUCCCAGGCAAAACGCAGCCUUCUUUUUACCCAACCGACCGAUGGGCGCUGCCGCAUGACGCGCGGUGCGUAGGCAUUCCGAAUACAAAUAUGAGCAAAAUACAUUUACGAAUACCACUACAUAUACUAAUUACUAGAAAGGCAUUGAAGAUUGCAAUGAAAUUAUAUGGUUCCAACAGGAAGGCUACUUACCAAAUUUCUGUAAACACAAUUGAAAUUUUGCCAUGGAGACUAGACGGUACGGAUGUAAAUUAGAGAGCGUGCGAUUUUUCCCGUUAGACUUUUUAUAAAGUCGCAGUUCUGUGCCAUAAGCCCGAAAACCUCAAAGUUAUCGCUCAAAUAAAAACCUGCAAAAACCUUGGAUGCGAGCUACGACAAUGGUACGAUGCUUUGUUUCACACAUAAUCUAAUUUAUAGAUCUUUAAACAAAAUCGUCAAUAUUAAAUUCACAGCUUAUUUUAUUCAUUGUCAAAAUCGAUUGAAACUCAUUGAAUCAUAUAUUCUAUUUAUCUUAUUCCCUUUUGUUCGAGAGAUUGAUUUGCCUCAAAGAGCCUUCCAAGACUCGAAGUCUAGAUAAUUGAACUGAGGGAUCUAGAAUUCUAAGAUACAUGAAUUCAUCUAACGCAGACUCAUAGAUAGUUAGUUAUAUUUUAUAUUACUUUUUUUUAAAUCGUUACAAAGUUUUAAAAAAGAUCAAAGAAUUAGAAUUAUAAGUCCAUAAAUACGCGUAAGUGUAAUUGAUGUUAAUCACAAAGAAUAUUAAUUAGUUUUUAAGAACUGCAUUUGUUAUCGCUGCUUCGCUAUGGUCUCACAUACAACAGCAUACAUCUUUAACGGUAGCCGUUAAGUAAAACCAUUUCUAAUUUUACGUUACCAGCAGACAAAUGACAAAAUAACCUAUAAGCUGCUUAUAAUAUCCCCAAUUUCUAAUAUCAAAUAUAAGUAUUUUGUUAUUAUGGCUUAAGCCCGCAUGAAAACAUUUCGUUCGGUAAUUUAGUUACACAGUGAUCCGAACUUGGUGCUUCCGACAAGUAUACGCGGGCGGAAAAAAUAUCUUUAAACUGCCUUUAGAUUAAACUGAAACACUGAGAGACAAGCUAGUCCAUUCCAUAUAAAACGGCGGACAGACAGACAUAAAAUGACGAGAACAGCUAUCGGAUGUAGCAAAUAAAUAGUCAAAACUUACACUCCUAUUACUAUAUGGGUAUAAACAUAUUAUAAGUGUCUUUAUGAUUUUUUUUUAGAUUCAUGUAUAUAUUUUCUGAGAGCUAAUAGGAAAAUUCUCUAUGCGCAACAUGCGAAAAUAUUUAUUUACAAUAUGUAGACGCUGUCAAGAAAAAAUCGGGGUAUUUGUUUAUGUUAAUUUAAUUGUGUAUGCUUUUUAAUAUUAUCUGUUUUCAAUAUUCUAUUAAGACUCCAAUGUGUUAUAGAUAUCAGGCAAGAGUAAAUUUCUUAGUGCCAAGAGAGCGUUUUCACCAACUUUGAAUAUCAAUUCUUUGAAUAUAAAUUUGCAUGCACUUUUAGGUAUUAUAUUUGUUGCUAAUUUAGGCACUUUUGUAAUUUCGAAUAAGAUAUUAAAUAUAUAUACAUAUAUAAGUAUAUUGUCAUCAUUACUCUAACUUAUAAUAAAAUUCAAUUGAGUCUAAUCUAUUCGAAUAACAAUAAGUUUUUUCUUAUUUAAGAAUAUAAUGUAGGAGCACACAUAGUUUUAUUAUUUGCCAUAAAAUACGGCAGAAAGCUCCUAAAUUCACCGGACGGAAAA